UGUGGUGUAGCUCAGCCGGAUAGAGCAGUCAACCUCUCAGUGCGUUCCGCGCAGGUUCGAAUCCUGCCACCACACCACCA
This 80-nucleotide transfer RNA is filed under the name Serratia fonticola. RNAcentral's name for it is "tRNA-OTHER". It matches the Rfam family "tRNA". From Rfam's summary of the family: Transfer RNA (tRNA) molecules are approximately 80 nucleotides in length. Their secondary structure includes four short double-helical elements and three loops (D, anti-codon, and T loops). Further hydrogen bonds mediate the characteristic L-shaped molecular structure. tRNAs have two regions of fundamental functional importance: the anti-codon, which is responsible for specific mRNA codon recognition, and the 3' end, to which the tRNAs corresponding amino acid is attached (by aminoacyl-tRNA synthetases). tRNAs cope with the degeneracy of the genetic code in two manners: having more than one tRNA (with a specific anti-codon) for a particular amino acid; and 'wobble' base-pairing, i.e. permitting non-standard base-pairing at the 3rd anti-codon position. Lineage: Bacteria; Pseudomonadati; Pseudomonadota; Gammaproteobacteria; Enterobacterales; Yersiniaceae. The record is from RNAcentral.